RNAcentral lists this ribosomal RNA (253 nucleotides) under uncultured bacterium. RNAcentral describes it as "partial 16S ribosomal RNA". It matches the Rfam family "Bacterial small subunit ribosomal RNA", at positions 524 to 776 of the family's 1533-position model. The record is from RNAcentral.
UACAGAGGGUGCGAGCGUUAAUCGGAAUUACUGGGCGUAAAGCGUGCGUAGGCGGCUAUCUAAGUCGGGCGUGAAAGCCCCGGGCUCAACCUGGGAAUUGCAUUCGAGACUGAAUAGCUAGGGUACGGUAGAGGGAAGCGGAAUUUCCGGUGUAGCGGUGAAAUGCGUAGAUAUCGGAAGGAACAUCAGUGGCGAAAGCGGCUUCCUGGACCAGUACCGACGUUCAGGCACGAAAGCGUGGGGAGCAAACAGG